This 442-nucleotide ribosomal RNA is filed under the name uncultured bacterium. Its description in RNAcentral is "partial 16S ribosomal RNA". It matches the Rfam family "Bacterial small subunit ribosomal RNA", at positions 338 to 795 of the family's 1533-position model. The record is from RNAcentral.
CCUACGGGAGGCAGCAGUAGGGAAUCUUUCACAAUGGGCGAAAGCCUGAUGGAGCAACGCCGCGUGCAGGAUGAAGGCCUUCGGGUUGUAAACUGCUUUUAUAAGCGAGAAAUAUGAUGGUAACUUAUGAAUAAGGAUCGGCUAACUACGUGCCAGCAGCCGCGGUCAUACGUAGGAUCCGAGCAUUAUCCGGAGUGACUGGGUGUAAAGAGUUGCGUAGGUGGCAUAAUAAGUAGCUAGUGAAAUCUGGUGGCUCAACCAUUCAGACUAUUAGCUAAACUGUUACGCGCGAGACCGUUAGGGGUAACUGGAAUUUCUAGUGUAGGAGUGAAAUCCGUAGAUAUUAGAAGGAACACCAAUAGCGUAGGCAGGUUACUGGGACGGUUCUGACACUAAGGCACGAAAGCGUAGGGAGCAAACGGGAUUAGAUACCCCAGUAGUC